AUAUUAUAAUCUUUAUACAUAAGACACCUCGUUAAUUUAGUUUAGUGGUAUUUAUUAAAUUAUACGAAUGACCUUAUUUUUUUUAGUAUUUCAAUGUAAAAUUACAUAUAAAAACAAAGUAUUUUGGCGAGACUCUUGAGGGAACAGGACAAGCUGAAGACUACAGGCUGAAGCUGUCCCCUAAGAAAGCGAGCCAACAAUACGAAGUAUUGUUGUAAAUAAAGAAGCCAG
Molecule: small RNA, 231 nt
Organism: Staphylococcus epidermidis RP62A
Lineage: Bacteria; Bacillati; Bacillota; Bacilli; Caryophanales; Staphylococcaceae
Rfam family: S. aureus tsr24 small RNA
Source: Rfam